AUUGAACGCUGGCGGCAUGCCUUACACAUGCAAGUCGAACGGUAACAGGUCUUCGGAUGCUGACGAGUGGCGAACGGGUGAGUAAUACAUCGGAACGUGCCCGAUCGUGGGGGAUAACGCAGCGAAAGCUGUGCUAAUACCGCAUACGAUCUACGGAUGAAAGCGGGGGAUCGCAAGACCUCGCGCGGACGGAGCGGCCGAUGGCAGAUUAGGUAGUUGGUGGGAUAAAAGCUUACCAAGCCGACGAUCUGUAGCUGGUCUGAGAGGACGACCAGCCACACUGGGACUGAGACACGGCCCAGACUCCUACGGGAGGCAGCAGUGGGGAAUUUUGGACAAUGGGGGAAACCCUGAUCCAGCCAUGCCGCGUGCAGGAUGAAGGCCUCGGUUGUAACU
Molecule: ribosomal RNA, 396 nt
Filed under: uncultured bacterium
Lineage: Bacteria
Description: bacterial SSU rRNA
Rfam family: Bacterial small subunit ribosomal RNA
Source: RNAcentral